This 497-nucleotide ribosomal RNA is filed under the name uncultured bacterium. RNAcentral describes it as "partial 16S ribosomal RNA". It matches the Rfam family "Bacterial small subunit ribosomal RNA", at positions 28 to 507 of the family's 1533-position model. The record is from RNAcentral.
GAUGAACGCUGGCGGCGUGCCUAAUACAUGCAAGUCGAGCGAACAGACGAGGAGCUUGCUCCUCUGACGUUAGCGGCGGACGGGUGAGUGACAUGUGGAUAACCUAGCUAUAAGGCGGGGAUAACUUCGGGAAACCGGAGGUAAUACCGGAUAAUAGAUUGAACCGCAUGGUGCAGUAGUUAAAGACGGUUUUGCUGUCACUUAGAGAUGGAUCCGCGCCGCAUUAGCUAGUUGGUAAGGUAACGGCUUACCAAGGCGACGAUGCGUAGCCGACCUGAGAGGGUGAUCAGCCACACUGGAACUGAGACACGGUCCAGACUCCUACGGGAGGCAGCAGUAGGGAAUAUUCCGCAAUGGGCGCAAGCCUGACGCAGCCACGCCGCGUGUAUGAUGAAGGUCUUCGGAUCGUAAAGCUCUUUUAUCAGGGAAGAAGAAAUGUGUAAGAAUCCCUGCGCGUAUUGACGGUACCCGCUGAGAAAGCCCCGGCUAACUACGUG